AAUUGGAGGGCAAGUCUGGUGCCAGCAGCCGCGGUAAUUCCAGCUCCAAUAGCGUAUAUUAAAGUUGUUGCAGUUAAAAAGCUCGUAGUUGGAUUUCUGUUAAUAAUUUAUAUAUAAUAUUUGAUUAAUAUUUAUAUAAUAUUAACAUAAUUCAUAUUACUAAAAGAUUUUACUUUGAGAAAAUUAGAGUGCUUAAAGCAGGCAUAUGCCUUGAAUACUCCAGCAUAGAAUAAUAUUAAAGAUUUUUAUCUUUCUUAUUGGUUCUAAGAUAAAAAUAAUGAUUAAUAGGGACAGUUGGGGGCAUUUGUAUUUAACAGUCAGAGGUGAAAUUCUUAGAUUUGUUAAAGACAAACUAAUGCGAAAGCAUUUGCCAAGGAUGUUUUCAUUAAUCAAGAACGAAAGUUAGGGGAUCGAAGACGAUCAGAUACCGUCGUAG
RNAcentral lists this ribosomal RNA (436 nucleotides) under Cryptosporidium meleagridis. Its description in RNAcentral is "SSU rRNA". It matches the Rfam family "Eukaryotic small subunit ribosomal RNA", at positions 546 to 1023 of the family's 1831-position model. Lineage: Eukaryota; Apicomplexa; Conoidasida; Eucoccidiorida; Cryptosporidiidae. The record is from RNAcentral.